UUGAACGCUGGCGGCAUGCCUAACACAUGCAAGUCGAACGAGAAUAAGGGGCAACCCUUGUUCUAGUGGCGGACGGGUGCGGAAUGCGUAGGAAUCUACCUUAAAGUGGGGGAUAACUUGGGGAAACUCAAGCUAAUACCGCAUAUGCUCUACGGAGUAAAGGGGGCGCAAGCUCUCGCUAUAAGAUGAGCCUACGUCGGAUUAGCUAGUUGGUGGGGUAAAGGCCUACCAAGGCAAUGAUCCGUAGCUGGUCUGAGAGGAUGACCAGCCACACUGGGACUGAGAUACGGCCCAGACUCCUACGGGAGGCAGCAGUGGGGAAUAUUGGACAAUGGGGGAAACCCUGAUCCAGCAAUGCCGCGUGUGUGAAGAAGGCCUUCGGGUUGUAAAGCACUUUCAAUGGGGAGGAAAAAUUUGGGGCUAAUACCUCCAGAUCUUGACGUUACCUAUAGAAGAAGCACCGGCUAACUCUGU
RNAcentral lists this ribosomal RNA (474 nucleotides) under uncultured bacterium. RNAcentral's name for it is "bacterial SSU rRNA". It matches the Rfam family "Bacterial small subunit ribosomal RNA", at positions 30 to 506 of the family's 1533-position model. The record is from RNAcentral.